Molecule: transfer RNA, 67 nt
Filed under: Marmota monax (woodchuck)
Lineage: Eukaryota; Metazoa; Chordata; Mammalia; Rodentia; Sciuridae
Description: tRNA.Ala
Source: RNAcentral
GGACUUGGCUCAGUGGUAGAGCAUCUGCUUAGCAUGUACAAGGUCCAAGAUUCAAUCCCUAGCACCA